RNAcentral lists this ribosomal RNA (551 nucleotides) under uncultured bacterium. RNAcentral describes it as "partial 16S ribosomal RNA". It matches the Rfam family "Bacterial small subunit ribosomal RNA", at positions 355 to 895 of the family's 1533-position model. The record is from RNAcentral.
UGGGGAAUUUUGGACAAUGGGCGAAAGCCUGAUCCAGCAAUGCCGCGUGUGUGAAGAAGGCCUUCGGGUUGUAAAGCACUUUUGUCCGGAAAGAAAUCCUUGGCUCUAAUACAGUCGGGGGAUGACGGUACCGGAAGAAUAAGCACCGGCUAACUACGUGCCAGCAGCCGCGGUAAUACGUAGGGUGCAAGCGUUAAUCGGAAUUACUGGGCGUAAAGCGUGCGCAGGCGGUUUGCUAAGACCGAUGUGAAAUCCCCGGGCUCAACCUGGGAACUGCAUUGGUGACUGGCAGGCUAGAGUAUGGCAGAGGGGGGUAGAAUUCCACGUNUAGCAGUGAAAUGCGUAGAGAUGUGGAGGAAUACCGAUGGCGAAGGCAGCCCCCCUGGGCCAAUACUGACGCUCAUGCACGAAAGCGUGGGGAGCAAACAGGAUUAGAUACCCUGGUAGUCCACGCCCCUAAAACGAUGUCAACUAGUUGUUGGGGAUUCAUUUCCUUAGUAACGUAGCUAACGCGUGAAGUUGACCGCCUGGGGGAGUACGGUCGCAAGAUU